GACGAACGCUGGCGGCGUGCUUAACACAUGCAAGUCGAACGGAAAGGCCCUGCUUUUGUGGGGUGCUCGAGUGGCGAACGGGUGAGUAACACGUGAGUAACCUGCCCUUGACUUUGGGAUAACUUCAGGAAACUGGGGCUAAUACCGGAUAGGAGCUCCUGCUGCAUGGUGGGGGUUGGAAAGUUUCGGCGGUUGGGGAUGGACUCGCGGCUUAUCAGCUUGUUGGUGGGGUAGUGGCUUACCAAGGCUUUGACGGGUAGCCGGCCUGAGAGGGUGACCGGCCACAUUGGGACUGAGAGACGGCCCAGACUCCUACGGGAGGCAGCAGUGGGGAAUAUUGCACAAUGGGCAAGCCUGAUGCAGCAACGCCGCGUGCGGGAUGACGGCCUUCGGGUUGUAAACCGCUUUCGCCUGUGACGAAGCGUGAGUGACGGUAAUGGGUAAAGAAGCACCGGCUAACUACGUG
This 466-nucleotide ribosomal RNA is filed under the name uncultured bacterium. Its description in RNAcentral is "partial 16S ribosomal RNA". It matches the Rfam family "Bacterial small subunit ribosomal RNA", at positions 28 to 507 of the family's 1533-position model. The record is from RNAcentral.